This is a long non-coding RNA of Cebus imitator (Panamanian white-faced capuchin), 1456 nucleotides long. RefSeq lists it as uncharacterized. The transcript is spliced from 3 exons. The record is from RefSeq and is a predicted model, not a curated record. NCBI's taxonomy places the organism in Eukaryota, Metazoa, Chordata, Mammalia, Primates, Cebidae.
UUUUCAAUGGCUGUCCAUGUUACAUAAUUUCUAUAGGUAGCUAAGCAUUAGAAAUAACUUUGCUCAGUUAAAAAGGCGUAGGAGAAAGGGCAGGGGAGAACAGUGGUGAAAAAACAGUAAAAUAAGGAACAGUGGAAGGCUCUACCAUAAACAGUAAGGAAAGCAUUUAAAUUAUACUACACAGCCUAAAGACACAAAACAUUUCAUUUCCCUUUGCAUAAAACUGGUCUGACCUUCACAGUUCUGAAAUAACAGGAAAUAUUUCUCUGGUAACUGUACUGCAUUUUAGCCUGGUAGUUAAGCAGACUGCUCAGCAUGAAUAAAUAUAGUUUGAAAUUGUUAGGGCAGAUUUCUAUGAAGAGUGCAUGUUAAGCAGUAAUAUAAAUGUAAGAGCUUACAGCAAAAUGAAAUUCAUGCUAUAAAGGUCAAACCUGCCUAAGAGAGACUUUUAGGUAAACUAUUGGGUUGAAAAGCUGAUUCCCGUUUUGUUUUAAUAGUUGGUAACGUAUGGUGGCUGAGGUGAUGUGUUUCAGUUGAGUAGAUCAUGGAGCAUUAUCCUGCACUCAGUUGAGCAUAAAUGUGUCUGAUUUCUGCAGGACUAUGAAAAAUGGCUGAAUUCUCUCUUCCUGAAUCUGAAAUUAAUGACUAAAAAUGUUAUCAACGAGCCACUUCGCCCUUUCAAUACACUACUCAUGUCAGCUGUCUUCAAAGACACCAGGGAAAUAAUGUUCCCAGAAAUUUUCACAUGUAAUACCCAAGAUGGUGUACCUCCUUCAGCCAGGAAUGGGCUUCAUUGUCCUUGCCAUGGAUGAGGUAAGAGUAGAGUUUCUCAUCUACAACUCAGUAGAUCUCUGACUCCUCUUUGACCAGCAGUUUCUGGUUGGUCUGUUUGUUUACUGGUGUAUCUUUGUUAUUCUUCUUUAAGACUUUCAGAAUCACCCUUUUAUGUAGAAAAUUUUUCAUUCUUGAUCUAAUAUGAGGUGGUUAUAUACACACAUAUGGGUUAUGUUCUGCUUAUUUACAUUUAGAAUUUUGACAACUACUUUUGACUUAAAACCUGUCAUUUUAUUAGUAAGCUUUUCAUUUUUAAUAAUUUCUCCUUGCUGUAUGCUGAGAUGUUUAUUUAAAAAAUGUGUUUACAUAUGUAAGUCAUGAUUUGAGAUACUUUAAGAUUUAAUGUCUGUUUGACUCCCCCUCUAAGAGAUGCAGAGGUGAGUAUGAUUCCUCUUUUUCUUACUUUCACUCCUACUUCUUUCCUUAUAUUACCUGAAGUGGAUUCUAUUAUCAUUUCUAAAUUGACCUAUUACAUUUAUGUUUUGUUCUAUAGCACUUCUAAUUCUCACAGUUGGGUAGUAUCUGUACAGUUUUUCUCCAUUCUUCUCUAAGUUUAUACUAUAGUAGUUGUCUUAAAGAAUACAUAAUGCCAAUUUUGUCUAUUCAUUUGAUUUUUUCCUAC